GUACUUAUACCGAUUGGAUGAGUUGCGAACGGGUGAGUAACGCGUAGGUAACCUGCCUGAUAGCGGGGGAUAACUAUUGGAAACGAUAGCUAAUACCGCAUAACAGUUGUGAUUGCAUGAUGACAACUUGAAAGGGGCAAAUGCUCCACUAUUGGAUGGACCUGCGUUGUAUUAGCUAGUUGGUGGGGUAACGGCUCACCAAGGCGACGAUACAUAGCCGACCUGAGAGGGUGAUCGGCCACACUGGGACUGAGACACGGCCCAGACUCCUACGGGAGGCAGCAGUAGGGAAUCUUCGGCAAUGGGGGCAACCCUGACCGAGCAACGCCGCGUGAGUGAAGAAGGUUUUCGGAUCGUAAAGCUCUGUUGUAAGAGAAGAACUGUAGCAGGAGUGGAAAAUCUGCUACUUGACGGUAUCUUACCAGAAAGGGACGGCUAACUACGUGCCAGCAGCCGCGGUAAUACGUAGGUCCCGAGCGUUAUCCGGAUUUAUUGGGCGUAAAGCGAGCGCAGGCGGUUAGAUAAGUCUGAAGUCAAAGGCUGUGGCUUAACCAUAGUAUGCUUUGGAAACUGUUUAACUUGAGUGCAGAAGGGGAGAGUGGAAUUCCAUGUGCAGCGGUGAAAUGCGUAGAUAUAUGGAGGAACACCGGUGGCGAAAGCGGCUCUCUGGUCUGUAACUGACGCUGAGGCUCGAAAGCGUGGGUAGCGAACAGGAUUAGAUACCCUGGUAGUCCACGCCGUAAACGAUGAGUGCUAGGUGUUGGGUCCUUUCCGGGACUCAGUGCCGCAGCUAACGCAUUAAGCACUCCGCCUGGGGAGUACGACCGCAAGGUUGAAACUCAAAGGAAUUGACGGGGGCCCGCACAAGCGGUGGAGCAUGUGGUUUAAUUCGAAGCAACGC
This 901-nucleotide ribosomal RNA is filed under the name uncultured Streptococcus sp. RNAcentral describes it as "bacterial SSU rRNA". It matches the Rfam family "Bacterial small subunit ribosomal RNA", at positions 76 to 962 of the family's 1533-position model. Lineage: Bacteria; Bacillati; Bacillota; Bacilli; Lactobacillales; Streptococcaceae. The record is from RNAcentral.